CAUUGAUUGUAGAAAUGAGUCCUUUUUGGUUAUGAGAUCAUUAAGGAUAAAAGCUUCUUCAAUGAUUUGAUUUGCAUGAUUUUUGGUUCUUAUAUUUACAAUAAUGAUGCCAACUGUGGUAGCAUUGAUGAUGCCUUAAGGCUGUUUGCUAAAAUGUCUGAGAGAAGGUAUUUAUAGCUUUUCCACAGCUUCUGAAGUACUCAAGCUCACGGGCUAAUGUUUGUUUCUUUUGACUUUAAAUAUUGAACAGGUAAAUGACAGUAAGUUCAGGCAAGAGUAUAAAAAAGUGCCAUUUCUUCCCCAUUUGUGGCUAAUGUAUUUUCAGCUCCACAGAUCAAUGUUGCCACUACAAGCUUCAAUAUUGAAAUGUGAUUAUCAGAAGUAGUGGGCCAUCAUUGAAAGAUUACCCUUGUAGUGAGUCCAGAUGGGAGAGGACAAGGAUCUUUCAGUUAUGGAGAAAGUUAAUUUUUCAAAAGCUGUUCC
Magnolia sinica is the source of this 483-nucleotide long non-coding RNA. RefSeq lists it as uncharacterized. The record is from RefSeq and is a predicted model, not a curated record. The transcript has 4 exons. NCBI's taxonomy places the organism in Eukaryota, Viridiplantae, Streptophyta, Magnoliopsida, Magnoliales, Magnoliaceae.